UUAGCAGUGAGGAAUAUUGGUCAAUAGCCUAACGGCUGAACCAGCAACUUGGAAGAAUGUAUAGUGAAAGCUAAUUGUAUUGUUAGAUUUUAAUUAAUGCAAUAUCGACUAUGUCGAAUAAAGUUCUAAGUAGAGUAAUGAUAAUGACAUAUUCUAUUUAUUUGUCUUGACCAAUUCACGUGCCAGCAGUCGCGGCAACACGUGUAAGACUAGUGUUAUUCAUCUUUAAUAGGUUUAAAGGGUACUUAGACGGUAAAUCAAGCCCCAAAGGGUACUAAUUUACUAGAGUUUUAUAGGAGAGGGGAAGUACUACUGGAGUAGAGAUAAAAUUUAUUGAUACCAUUAUUGGACUGUUAACGGCGAAAGCAACCCUUUAUGUAAAAACUGACGUUGAAAGACGAAGGCUCGGUUAGCUAACAGGAUUAGGUACCCUAGUAGUCCGGGCAGACAAUGAUGAAUGCCAUAGAUUAGAAAUAAUAUUUAGUCUAUAAAUGAAAGUGUAAGCAUUCCACCUCAAGAGUAAUGCGGCAACGCAUAAACUGAAAUCAUUAGACCGUUUCUGAAACCAGUAGUGAAGUAUGUUGUUUAAUUUGAUGAUCCGCAAAAAACCUUACCACAAUUUGAAUAUUUUUAUUAUAAAAAUACAAGCGUUGCACGGCUGUCUUCAGUUAAUGUCGUGAGAUUUUGGUUAGUUCCAUAAAAUUAACGUAAACCCUUACUCUAUUUGUUUUUAUAGAGUAGUUCACCACUAUAUUGGAUAUGAUAACAGGGAUUAAGACAAGUCAUCAUGACCUGAAUAUUGUGGGCUAUAGACGUGCCACAUAA
This 825-nucleotide ribosomal RNA is filed under the name Dibaeis baeomyces. RNAcentral describes it as "SSU rRNA". It matches the Rfam family "Bacterial small subunit ribosomal RNA", at positions 348 to 1232 of the family's 1533-position model. The record is from RNAcentral. Lineage: Eukaryota; Fungi; Ascomycota; Lecanoromycetes; Pertusariales; Icmadophilaceae.